RNAcentral lists this ribosomal RNA (395 nucleotides) under uncultured bacterium. RNAcentral's name for it is "bacterial SSU rRNA". It matches the Rfam family "Bacterial small subunit ribosomal RNA", at positions 358 to 770 of the family's 1533-position model. The record is from RNAcentral.
GGAAUAUUGGACAAUGGGGGAAACCCUGAUCCAGCCAUGCCGCGUGAGUGAAGAAGGCCUUAGGGUUGUAAAACUCUUUCGGCGGGGAAGAUGAUGACGGUACCCGCAGAAGAAGCCCCGGCGAACUCCGUGCCAGCAGCCGCGGUAAUACGGAGGGGGCUAGCGUUGUUCGGAAUUACUGGGCGUAAAGCGCGCGUAGGCGGCUAAGUAAGCCGGUUGUGAAAGCCCCGGGCUCAACCUGGGAACGGCAUCCGGAACUGUUUAGCUAGAGUGCAGGAGAGGAAGGUAGAAUUCCCGGUGUAGCGGUGAAAUGCGUAGAGAUCGGGAGGAAUACCAGUGGCGAAGGCGGCCUUCUGGACUGACACUGACGCUGAGGUGCGAAAGCGUGGGUAGCA